Molecule: non-coding RNA, 962 nt
Organism: Punica granatum (pomegranate)
Lineage: Eukaryota; Viridiplantae; Streptophyta; Magnoliopsida; Myrtales; Lythraceae
Source: RefSeq, a predicted model, not a curated record
AAGGCAAAAGCAACACCGAGGUUUCUUCGAUGCAGCUCCCAACAAAGCUGUAAAUGGCUGAAGCAGCCAGACCACCACGGUUUCUUCGAUGCAGCUCCCAGCGCCCACCAACUCUCUCUAGCCUGCUGCCUCGCGGCUCCUCUGUUACUCCUUGGUCAGAUCUGGACGACUCCUCGCUAAUCCUUCCAGAUCUGAUCUUGAUGUAAGCAGGGUCGGAUCCGACUCGGUUUAUCGAGUUCGGUCAGAUUGGACCCAUCCUAUUCGGGUCGGGUCCAAUCAGUUUGUGGGUGUCUGAGGUGCUGAAGUCGUAAUGUGUCGACCUCUCUCUCUUUUGUCCCUUUUGUUGCAGGUUGGUUAGAUUGCCCAGCAUUUGGUCAAGAGAUAGACUGCUUCAUUCCUUCUAAGGUUCCACUUGGUGAAUCCUUUAAUGACUGUAUUCCUCCUGCAAAAAGAUACUCGUUCAAGCAAGUGAAUCCGAUCUUGCCAUUUCGCAGCUCAGCUUCGGCUUUUUUGAUGAUUUGAUUUGAGCAUUGAAAGUUUGGCGUUGGAUUAAUCUAUGGGGGAAUUGGGGUUUGCCCUUUUGAGUUUGGACUUUUGUGGAGGAAUCAAAUCUGAGCCAUCUUCCGUUUCCAAUUUCACGAGCUGUGGUGUGGGCUUUGGGCUCAGUUGCAUUUUGCUUUGUUAGCUGGAAAUCUUCUGAUUAAGAUAUGCCAUUUCCAGUUCUUAGCUCAAACACUACAGCACAUGGAAUCAGUGCUGCAUGACUAUUCUGCAGGAGACCUGAUUCAUUCUCUGGAGGACCAAUUCAAUAGUUUACAGCUGUAGGAAUGUUGGACAUGUGUAUAGGUACUUUUUUCAGUUGUAAUGACAGAAUUACUGUCAUUUAUGUUUCGGUUUCUGUGUAAUGCAGUUUUGCAAAUCUUUGCAGAUGAGUUAAUGAAAUUAAUGUGUUGUUCUCUGAA